UACGUAGGGGGCGAGCGUUGUCCGGAUUUACUGGGCGUAAAGGGUGAGUAGGCGGUUAUAUAUGUCAGGUGUAAAAGGCGUAGGCUCAACCUACGUAUGCACUUGAAACUGUAUAACUUGAGUGCAGGAGAGGUAAGCGGAAUUCCUAGUGUAGCGGUGAAAUGCGUAGAUAUUAGGAGGAACACCGGUGGCGAAGGCGGCUUACUGGACUGUAACUGACGCUGAGUCACGAAAGCGUGGGUAGCAAACAGGAUUAGAUACCCUGGUAGUCCACGCUGUAAACGAUGAGUGCUAGGUGUUGGGUAGCAAUACUCAGUGCCGCAGUUAACACACUAAGCACUCCGCCUGGGGAGUACGUACGCAAGUAUGAA
Molecule: ribosomal RNA, 371 nt
Filed under: uncultured bacterium
Lineage: Bacteria
Description: bacterial SSU rRNA
Rfam family: Bacterial small subunit ribosomal RNA
Source: RNAcentral